GUAUGGGUAUUUAUGCAUUGUAUAUACUGAUUCUGAUAUUGAGAUGGACUUAGGGUCAAAUAUAUGUGAUAUGUACCAAUUGAUAUAGGCUCAGGCCCAACCGAGGCUAAUGAGAGCUAAGGCCAUUUGCCACCGUUACCGUAAUGGGCUAAGGCCCACCCUAAUAUUGUUACUGUUAAGGGCUCAGGCCUAGAUUGAUUAUGUUUCUUUAAUAAGGGGAUUGCACACUGA
Molecule: long non-coding RNA, 231 nt
Filed under: Gossypium barbadense (sea-island cotton)
Lineage: Eukaryota; Viridiplantae; Streptophyta; Magnoliopsida; Malvales; Malvaceae
Description: long non-coding RNA (GBAR_LNC014218)
Source: RNAcentral